Molecule: ribosomal RNA, 2137 nt
Filed under: human gut metagenome
Description: bacterial LSU rRNA
Rfam family: Bacterial large subunit ribosomal RNA
Source: RNAcentral
UGUGGCUGGGGGUGAAAGGCCAAUCAAACCGGGAGAUAGCUGGUUCUCCCCGAAAGCUAUUUAGGUAGCGCCUCGUGAAUUCAUCUCCGGGGGUAGAGCACUGUUUCGGCAAGGGGGUCAUCCCGACUUACCAACCCGAUGCAAACUGCGAAUACCGGAGAAUGUUAUCACGGGAGACACACGGCGGGUGCUAACGUCCGUCGUGAAGAGGGAAACAACCCAGACCGCCAGCUAAGGUCCCAAAGUCAUGGUUAAGUGGGAAACGAUGUGGGAAGGCCCAGACAGCCAGGAUGUUGGCUUAGAAGCAGCCAUCAUUUAAAGAAAGCGUAAUAGCUCACUGGUCGAGUCGGCCUGCGCGGAAGAUGUAACGGGGCUAAACCAUGCACCGAAGCUGCGGCAGCGACACUGUGUGUUGUUGGGUAGGGGAGCGUUCUGUAAGCCUGUGAAGGUGUGCUGUGAGGCAUGCUGGAGGUAUCAGAAGUGCGAAUGCUGACAUAAGUAACGAUAAAGCGGGUGAAAAGCCCGCUCGCCGGAAGACCAAGGGUUCCUGUCCAACGUUAAUCGGGGCAGGGUGAGUCGACCCCUAAGGCGAGGCCGAAAGGCGUAGUCGAUGGGAAACAGGUUAAUAUUCCUGUACUUGGUGUUACUGCGAAGGGGGGACGGAGAAGGCUAUGUUGGCCGGGCGACGGUUGUCCCGGUUUAAGCGUGUAGGCUGGUUUUCCAGGCAAAUCCGGAAAAUCAAGGCUGAGGCGUGAUGACGAGGCACUACGGUGCUGAAGCAACAAAUGCCCUGCUUCCAGGAAAAGCCUCUAAGCAUCAGGUAACAUCAAAUCGUACCCCAAACCGACACAGGUGGUCAGGUAGAGAAUACCAAGGCGCUUGAGAGAACUCGGGUGAAGGAACUAGGCAAAAUGGUGCCGUAACUUCGGGAGAAGGCACGCUGAUAUGUAGGUGAAGCGACUUGCUCGUGGAGCUGAAAUCAGUCGAAGAUACCAGCUGGCUGCAACUGUUUAUUAAAAACACAGCACUGUGCAAACACGAAAGUGGACGUAUACGGUGUGACGCCUGCCCGGUGCCGGAAGGUUAAUUGAUGGGGUUAGCGGUAACGCGAAGCUCUUGAUCGAAGCCCCGGUAAACGGCGGCCGUAACUAUAACGGUCCUAAGGUAGCGAAAUUCCUUGUCGGGUAAGUUCCGACCUGCACGAAUGGCGUAAUGAUGGCCAGGCUGUCUCCACCCGAGACUCAGUGAAAUUGAACUCGCUGUGAAGAUGCAGUGUACCCGCGGCAAGACGGAAAGACCCCGUGAACCUUUACUAUAGCUUGACACUGAACAUUGAGCCUUGAUGUGUAGGAUAGGUGGGAGGCUUUGAAGUGUGGACGCCAGUCUGCAUGGAGCCGACCUUGAAAUACCACCCUUUAAUGUUUGAUGUUCUAACGUUGACCCGUAAUCCGGGUUGCGGACAGUGUCUGGUGGGUAGUUUGACUGGGGCGGUCUCCUCCUAAAGAGUAACGGAGGAGCACGAAGGUUGGCUAAUCCUGGUCGGACAUCAGGAGGUUAGUGCAAUGGCAUAAGCCAGCUUGACUGCGAGCGUGACGGCGCGAGCAGGUGCGAAAGCAGGUCAUAGUGAUCCGGUGGUUCUGAAUGGAAGGGCCAUCGCUCAACGGAUAAAAGGUACUCCGGGGAUAACAGGCUGAUACCGCCCAAGAGUUCAUAUCGACGGCGGUGUUUGGCACCUCGAUGUCGGCUCAUCACAUCCUGGGGCUGAAGUAGGUCCCAAGGGUAUGGCUGUUCGCCAUUUAAAGUGGUACGCGAGCUGGGUUUAGAACGUCGUGAGACAGUUCGGUCCCUAUCUGCCGUGGGCGCUGGAGAACUGAGGGGGGCUGCUCCUAGUACGAGAGGACCGGAGUGGACGCAUCACUGGUGUUCGGGUUGUCAUGCCAAUGGCACUGCCCGGUAGCUAAAUGCGGAAGAGAUAAGUGCUGAAAGCAUCUAAGCACGAAACUUGCCCCGAGAUGAGUUCUCCCUGACUCCUUGAGAGUCCUGAAGGAACGUUGAAGACGACGACGUUGAUAGGCCGGGUGUGUAAGCGCAGCGAUGCGUUGAGCUAACCGGUACUAAUGAACCGUGAGGCUUAACC